CGGUGAUAAACCGGAGGAAGGUGGGGACGACGUCAAGUCAUCAUGGCCUUUAUGGGUAGGGCUACACACGUGCUACAAUGGGACAUACAGAGGGAAGCCAACCCGCGAGGGGGAGCCAAUCCUUUAAAAUGUCUCGUAGUCCGGAUUGGAGUCUGCAACUCGACUCCAUGAAGUUGGAAUCGCUAGUAAUCGCGAAUCAGCAAGUCGCGGUGAAUACGUUCUCGGGCCUUGUACACACCGCCCGUCACACCAUGGGAGUGGGUUUUACCAGAAGGCGGUAGAUUAACCUUUUCGGAGGGGAUCGCCGACCACGGUAAGAUUCAUGACUGGGGUGAAGUCGUAACAAGGUAGCCGUAGGGGAACCUGCGGCUGGAUCACCUCCUU
This 384-nucleotide ribosomal RNA is filed under the name Rickettsiella grylli. Its description in RNAcentral is "bacterial SSU rRNA". It matches the Rfam family "Bacterial small subunit ribosomal RNA", at positions 1153 to 1532 of the family's 1533-position model. The record is from RNAcentral. Lineage: Bacteria; Pseudomonadati; Pseudomonadota; Gammaproteobacteria; Legionellales; Coxiellaceae.